UCUUAUCAAGAGUGGCGGAGGGACUGGCCCGUUGAUGCCACAGCAACCUGCUUCUUGCAAGGUGCUAAUUCCUGCGGAUUUUUCCGAGUGAUGAG
RNAcentral lists this non-coding RNA (95 nucleotides) under uncultured Eubacterium sp. Its description in RNAcentral is "SAM riboswitch (S box leader)". It matches the Rfam family "SAM riboswitch aptamer (S box leader)". Rfam says of the family: The SAM riboswitch is found upstream of a number of genes which code for proteins involved in methionine or cysteine biosynthesis in Gram-positive bacteria. The SAM riboswitch acts at the level of transcription termination control. The record is from RNAcentral. Lineage: Bacteria; Bacillati; Bacillota; Clostridia; Eubacteriales; Eubacteriaceae.